AUUUUUGCCUGUUCAGCGUCGAGGAGGACUUGGAGUGUUUGACUCCUUCACAAUUCUCACCUCGUUACUCCUUGCCUUGUAUCCUCUUUGCCUUUUUGGUACUGAAGAUUGACCCUAGGGCCUUUCUGCUGAGCCGCAAGUCCAGCCUUUUUAUUUUAUUUUAAUUUUUGAGAAUGUUUUGCUAAAUCUCUUAAAUUGUUCAGGCUACACUUGAACUUGUGAUCCUCAUGCCUUAUCCUCUCAGAAUGCUGGUAACAAGUAUGUGUCGCCACAUCCGGCUUCCUGGCCUGUCUUCAGGUGUGCACCUUCCCUAGGACGUCUUUCAGAUGGGGUUCCUAAGCCCUCAGAUAAGUGUUCUUCAUGAAUACGAUGGGAGCAGAGGAAAGCAAAUGAUUCAUUCACUCAACAGAUUUCAUUGGAUGUCUGCACCUGAGCCUGGAGCGAUGGGACAGUGCGCAAAAGAGGCCUGCAAAAGCUAACGUUUGAAGUGGGAACUACAGCGUUUAUGUUUCAGGUCUUUCUAAAUGUAGGAGGAGAAGUUUAUGGAUGGUCACAGGGAAGAGUUCUGGCUAGCAGCACAAAGAUCAGGCCAGGUUAGGCUGGUGCAGAGGAACCAAGAAAAGAACAGAUGGUUCGAAAAGCAGAUGGGUCCCAGAAGGUCAUAUGGCUGGGGCUGAGAAAGAGUGAAGAGGUGUUGGCCCCACAUAAGAGUCUGGCCUUCUGGCUGGGGAUUUAGCUCAGCGGCAUAAGUACCUGCCUUGCAAGCAGGCAGUCGUGAGUUCGAUCCCUGGUACCGAAAAAGACAAAAAAAAAAAAAAAAAAAAAAAAGAGUCUGGCCUUCCAACUGGAGGGCAAAGGGAAGUUGUUGGCCUGUGAGCAAACUGUGGACACAGCCUUCUUGGUAGAUUCCUUGAUAACUGGUGUGGACAAAACAGGUUUUUAGGGUGAUUGGAAUGGGAACAAAAGAUCAAUUUACGUGACUGUUCUUGGUGAGAGGUGGCAGCAGUCCAGUUGACUGGUAGCAGUGGCUGGAUUGUAUUUACUUAGGAGGUGAGAUUGUCAAGCCUACUUUUGCACUGGUUGUGGUGUGGAUGUUUGCUAACAUUUGUUGGGAAAUUUGACCCCAAAAGUUUGUUACACCCCAAAUUCAUAUGCUGAUGCUAAUUGGAGGUGGGAUGCCUGGGAGGCCAUUUGGUAGAUGAGAACAUGAAGGUGGGGCUCCCCAUGAUGGCUUACUGACUUUUUGAGAAGGAGAGACCUGAAGUUGUGCACUUGGUUUAUCUUGCCAUUUGAUAUCCUCUGCCCUGUCAUGAUGGAGCAGGAGAGUCCUCAUCAGACACCAGCAUCAGGCUCUUCCCAGCCUCUAGUACCUGAGCCAAACAGACUUCUAUUCCUUAUGAUGUCCCAGUGUCUGUUGUUACUACAAUAGAAAAUGGACUUCUGGAGACAAUCUGCAGAAAUGGCACCUUGCAAGGGGAAGGAAGAGAAAGAAAAGCAGAUCAUCAGCCUCAGGCUUCAGGUUGCUGAAGGAGAUAAUGUAUUUGGUGUCUUGUAAUACUUUGGCCCAUGUCACUGAUCUUUCUGGCAAGGAAACUGUUUGUCAUGUGACUGGCGGGAUGAAGAUGAAGGCUUACCACACAUUGCCAUGUUGGCUUCCCAGGAUAUAUGUGACCCAGAAGUGCAAGGAGUUGGGCAUCAGUGCCCUGCAUAUGAAACUCUGGGCCACACGAGGAAACAGAACUAAGACCCCUGGACCUAGUAUGCGGUCAGCCUUUGGAGUGCUCGCUUGCUUGCUUGGGAAUGAAGAUUGGGAGGGUUGAAGAUGUCACCCCAUCCCCUUCAACAGCACCUGCAAAAAGGAUGGUUCUGAGGAUUAAACGGAGUGACCCAGCCAGAGCCUUAGCAUGGGUCUGCAUAUCAAGAGCCUUAGCAUGGGGAUACAAGACCUGCUCCAAAGUAUUGGCUCCAUCCCCACCUCCCAUGCCGCACGCUUCUGCCACUGGACCUGGAAUGCUGGCAGCAGCUCCAGAUACACAGAAGGUGUGUCAGAGGCCUUACCAGCAGGCCCCAAACUUCUUUCCAGCCUGCCACCCCCUGGCCAAGGUGACCUUGCUCAUCAGGGCUGAGAGGAGCAGGGCGGGCAGCAGCAGUGAAUUCUCCUAGGGGAGACAGGGCAGGGAGACUGAGGGAGCUGACCUUUGAGCUGGGCCUAGGAGAGGAGAGGAACAGGGUGGGCAGGCACAGGAGAAAUAAAAAACAACAAAGCCUCAAGCGAUGGACGAUCACUGCUGGGGUGAGGAGUGGGCAGUGGCAGAAGUCAGGUGUGCUGGGAGCUAGGGGGGACCUGGAGGAGGCUGGUGAACUUAGCUGCCCAUGAAGUGGGGCUCGUGUGGUCAGAUCUGUGAUUUAGGAAGAGCAGGCUGGACCAGACAGGAGGCAGGGAGACUGGGAGGCCACUGAGUCAACCCGGAUGAGAGAGGGUGGUGGCUGGGACUAAGGCGGCAGCCACAAAGAUGAAAGAAAAUGGGGGGCUGGGGAUUUAGCUCAGCAGCAUAAGCGCCUGCGUUGCAAGCAGGCAGUCGUGAGUUCGAUCCCUGGUACCGAUAAAAAGGAAAAAGACAAAAAAAAAAAAAAAAAAAGAAAGAAAAUGGGAAGUUCUUAAAAAUACUGCAGUCAGUUGAACAGAAAGACUGGGGGAGCAGACUGGGAGUUGGGAGUGGGCAGCCGGGUGGACGGUGGACGUGGGCAGGGAUGAGCACUCGAUGGGAGCAGUCCAGGUCCUGGAAGGGCUGGGGAACAGCGAAAAGGACACCAAGAGGGAGGAGAGGACGCUGAAUCUAAAACGUGUGGAGUCUCAGGGUGUGCACCCCAGGCCUGCGCUGUGGAAGGCAGAACCCAGGCAGGGGCAUCAGGGAGCACAGGAAGUUGAGCCAGAUAGUGCGUGCAUGUGUGUAUGUGUGUGUGUGUGUGUGUGUGCGCGCGCGCGUGUGUGUGCACACACACGUGCACAUGGACAUGUGACUGGGAUUGAAUCCAGACUUCACACUGAGCUGCAUUCUAGCCCCUAGUUAAAUUUGUGGGGUGGUUACUGGGGAUCAAAAGCACAAUCUCAUGUUUGCCAGGCAGGUACUUGAGCCACUGAGCUAAAACCCCAGCCCGUCUAUGUUAAAAAUGUAACGUUAGGGUCUUAAUAAGUCACUAGAUUGACCAGGCUUGGCUCAAACUUAUGAUCGUCCUGCCUCAGCCUCUCAGAGGCUGGGAUUGCAGGAAUGGGCCAGCACAUCAUGGUUUGGGAGCUGCUUAAUUUUUUUUUUUUUUUUUGGUUCUGGGGAUCAGACUUACAACCUCAGGCUUGCCAGGCAGGUGCUUAUACUGCUGAGCUAAAUCCCUGGCCCUGGAUGCUUGAAUUUUUGAAGAAAGGAACAAUCUUGGAUCAUAUUGCCAGGGAAGUGAGUUGGAUAGGUGGGUGGGGACUGCCUUUUAUUUUUGUGAAAAAAAUAAAACAAAAUUUUAUAACAAAAAAUAAGAGAAUAACAACAGCUAACAUACCAUGUAUCAUUAUCUUCGAAAUAGUUACUCAAAAAACAAGAGAUUUCUCCCACAAAGAAACAGAUAAUUGCACAAAACUUUCUUUUCAAUGAAGAGGGGAUACUUUUUAGCAAGGGGCGUGAAUCCAGGGGAAAGAGGAACUUUGGUGGAAAGUUCAUUCAUCCACCAACACAACCUCAGUGAAGCACUGUGAUAUUCUGGGGAGAGCAGUGAUAAAGCCCCUGUCCUUGUGAGAUGUACCUUUAUUAUACACAGUUUGAUUAGAUAGAAAUUAAUAUAUAGGGCUGGGGAUUUAGCUCAGCAGCAUAAGCGCCUGCCUUGCAAGCACGUGGUCAUGAGUUCAAUCCCCAGUAUAAAAAAAAAAAAAAAAAAAAAAAAAAAGGAAAGAAAGAAACUAAUAUGUAGUCAGAGAGGAACUGGGCUCUCAAGGAAGUCAACAUCUGAAGACCAGACCCCAAGGGAAAGAUGCCCCGGCUGGUGCAGUUAGACCGUGAGAAGUCUGUGCCAAGUACAGCAGACCUGUGAAUGCAUCAGUUCGGCUAGUGAGCUGUCAUAGUAAAUACAUUUUUGAAUAUGACUAUUGGUGUAUACAGAAAGUUUUACUCGCAUUUCAGCCUCAGUGUGUUUCACAGCAUCUCACAGCACUUCGCCUGUUACAGCUCCCAGCAGUGAACAGCAGUGCUGGCUUCUGUCCAGUGUGCUUCAGCCCUGCCGAGGCCCUCACUGCAUUUUCGGACCUAGGCCUAGCAUCGGAUCUUUCCAUUUGGUUGUGGCCAUUCACAGCAUUUCAACCAGUCAAAUACAUAUUUAUGUUGCUGUUUUCUUUGUCAUCUGAUUCAAGGAGGCCUGCAUUCCCUGUGUCUGUGUCAGUCAAUUCUGACUCCACUUCACUGUCACAGGAACUUUGGUUCACAUGGUGCACAUCAAAUUCGUCAUCAUCAUCAUCAUUACCAUCAUCCAGCCGUAACACUCUUGGGUUAUGAAAGCACGCGUUUUACCAUAAUGGAUCAUCUUUACCACCCAUGCAUGAGUAAUCUGAUGAUUCACUUUUUACCUCCCCCAAAACUCGCAUAUCUGGCUUUUCAUGUGCCAUUGUACUCAAUUGGGCUACUUGUCCCAGAACAAUCAAAAGAAAAAAUUUUUGAAAAACAAAUCCUAGAGUGGUGUGGGUCUAUUGGACCCUCUAUGAUGCUUGGGUAAAUAUAUGGGAGAACCAGUUAGAGCACAAAAGUGGGUCCAAAUCUAUUUUGCCCCUUUUGCAUAUAGGCCCACUCCUUAUCGAUCACCAUACCAAGUGGGUAAACACAUAGAUUGCUUCUUGUGCCCCUCAGGGACGGGUACUGAGGUACACAGCGAGCUACUCUAAGGCUACGGUACAAAUUUACAGUAGAAAAGUAAGGGAGGGGUUCACUGGAUCGAGGCUUAUGCCUCAAGUUAAAUGCUCGAUGGUUAAGUCUUUCUUGGUCUUUGGAUUCCAGUUCCACCCCUCCAGCUGGGUGACUUGGACUAGUUAUUUUCCUGUGCUUGGCUCUUGUUACCUAUAAAACGGGGAUGAUAAUAAUAUUCACUUUGUGUGGUUAUUUGAAGACUAAAUAAAGUUAAUAUAAACUGGA
Cavia porcellus (domestic guinea pig) is the source of this 5162-nucleotide long non-coding RNA. RefSeq lists it as uncharacterized. NCBI's taxonomy places the organism in Eukaryota, Metazoa, Chordata, Mammalia, Rodentia, Caviidae. The record is from RefSeq and is a predicted model, not a curated record. The transcript is spliced from 2 exons.